This is a long non-coding RNA of Gallus gallus (chicken), 1222 nucleotides long. The record is from Ensembl. Lineage: Eukaryota; Metazoa; Chordata; Aves; Galliformes; Phasianidae.
UGCAUCGGUGUCACUCACUCCAAAGCCAUAAGCAAAGCAGAAGGCAGGGAGCUUCAGCUCAAGCCUUCAGACACCAGAUAUUCUUCUCUCCCCUGUAUGGUUCUACAGGCUGAGGAGCGAUGCGGGCUGAAAUCGCCAUCUGACAGCUUUUACUCGAACAGCUCGGGAUGAAGUCGGACUCGGAAGUGUUUGCGAUGCUGUCUGGAGAAGACCUCUUGGAUUUCCAGGCAGUAAUUAAUACUUAACUUUCCGCUCCGUCACGGCAGCUGUGCCACGGGGUCAGCAGGAGUCACCGUGUUAGUAAAAGAUAAUUGCACUGCACGUGCAGCCCCGAGCUGAGCGCCCUACAGUAACAGGGGAAGCUUUCCUGGCCUCCUGCGAAGGCCCUCAGGUGAGGGAGGUCUUGCCUGGGAGGUGGAAGAGCCCUAUCCCCGCCACGGCACCAGGAGGGGAUGAGGAGUGAGGAAGACAUCCAGCCCGACAUUGGUGUACCUGCGGAGGGCGGUGGGGCUGGAGGCUUUCCCGCAGCAGCCCAGCCGAAAUACAGCCGCCCUCCGCGGCUUAAUCGAACGGUCAAUCGCCUGCAUGAGCCUUAUCUCGCAUUUGAAUGCGUCUGGCUCCGGUUUUGGGGAAGGUCCCUUCUGUGCUGGGGUUUUCCCCCCCGGGGAGCCAUUGUCAUGCGGGGCUCCGCCGCCCACCCCGCGGGGCGGGAGCGGAGUCACCACCCGACUCAGGGCCGCUAACACGUGUGCCUCGUCAGCGAGAGACGCUCUAAUUUAACAGCCAACAGCCUGCAGCCGAACGGCGCUACGGAAACCCGAUGUGAGGAUCAUUCGGAGGCUCCGAAGCGCUGAGUCAGCGGCGGAGCCCCAUCUCCGAGGCUCGGAUGCGUUUCUUUCAGACUGCCUGAAUAAAGCGGCGUUUGGAGGGAGGGUGGAGGGGAGAAGGGAGUAAAAAAAACACCUAACGGGAGGGAAGGAGGUCUUCAGGCUUUAGCCAAAGAUGUUCUCUCUCGGGCACCUCUUGCUCCGAUGGUUUGAUACCGGCACGUGUGGAACAAAGCCUCGAGAGUAAGACCUAACUGGGGGCUACUGGGCAGUCCCUGUUUUGGGGGAUGCUUUUCCUCUCCCCGUAGAUCCGAAAGCGAAUUAAUAGUAAUAAUAAUAAUAAUUCCAAUGGUUACGCCGCUGACGGGUUAAGGGAAGGCUGCCCCCGGGACCCC